Molecule: ribosomal RNA, 1436 nt
Filed under: Campylobacter jejuni
Lineage: Bacteria; Pseudomonadati; Campylobacterota; Epsilonproteobacteria; Campylobacterales; Campylobacteraceae
Description: partial 23S ribosomal RNA
Rfam family: Bacterial large subunit ribosomal RNA
Source: RNAcentral
AGGUAAGCUACUAAGAGCGAAUGGUGGAUGCCUUGACUGGUAAAGGCGAUGAAGGACGUACUAGACUGCGAUAAGCUACGGGGAGCUGUCAAGAAGCUUUGAUCCGUAGAUUUCCGAAUGGGGCAACCCAAUGUAUAGAGAUAUACAUUACCUAUAUAGGAGCGAACGAGGGGAAUUGAAACAUCUUAGUACCCUCAGGAAAAGAAAUCAAUAGAGAUUGCGUCAGUAGCGGCGAGCGAAAGCGCAAGAGGGCAAACCCAGUGCUUGCACUGGGGGUUGUAGGACUGCAAUGUGCAAGAGCUGAGUUUAGCAGAACAUUCUGGAAAGUAUAGCCAUAGAGGGUGAUAGUCCCGUAUGCGAAAAACAAAGCUUAGCUAGCAGUAUCCUGAGUAGGGCGGGACACGAGGAAUCCUGUCUGAAUCCGGGUCGACCACGAUCCAACCCUAAAUACUAAUACCAGAUCGAUAGUGCACAAGUACCGUGAGGGAAAGGUGAAAAGAACUGAGGUGAUCAGAGUGAAAUAGAACCUGAAACCAUUUGCUUACAAUCAUUCAGAGCACUAUGUAGCAAUACAGUGUGAUGGACUGCCUUUUGCAUAAUGAGCCUGCGAGUUGUGGUGUCUGGCAAGGUUAAGCAAACGCGAAGCCGUAGCGAAAGCGAGUCUGAAUAGGGCGCUUAGUCAGAUGCUGCAGACCCGAAACGAAGUGAUCUAUCCAUGAGCAAGUUGAAGCUAGUGUAAGAACUAGUGGAGGACUGAACCCAUAGGCGUUGAAAAGCCCCGGGAUGACUUGUGGAUAGGGGUGAAAGGCCAAUCAAACUUCGUGAUAGCUGGUUCUCUCCGAAAUAUAUUUAGGUAUAGCGUUGUGUCGUAAUAUAAGGGGGUAGAGCACUGAAUGGGCUAGGGCAUACACCAAUGUACCAAACCCUAUCAAACUCCGAAUACCUUAUAUGUAAUCACAGCAGUCAGGCGGCGAGUGAUAAAAUCCGUCGUCAAGAGGGAAACAACCCAGACUACCAGCUAAGGUCCCUAAAUCUUACUUAAGUGGAAAACGAUGUGAAGUUACUUAAACAACCAGGAGGUUGGCUUAGAAGCAGCCAUCCUUUAAAGAAAGCGUAAUAGCUCACUGGUCUAGUGAUUUUGCGCGGAAAAUAUAACGGGGCUAAAGUAAGUACCGAAGCUGUAGACUUGCACACAACUUAGAUUAUUUAAGUUUAGAAUAUGAGAAACUAAGUUAUAUGUUUAGUUAUAUUUUUACUGAUUUUUAUAGAGUAAAGAUAGAAAUAAAACUUAGUGAAAUCAGUAAAAAUAUUCUUAGGCUAAAGUUAAGUAGUUUAAGUUGUGUGCAAGUGGUAGGAGAGCGUUCUAUUUGCGUCGAAGGUAUACCGGUAAGGAGUGCUGGAGCGAAUAGAAGUGAGCAUGCAGGCAUGAGUAGCGA